Molecule: unclassified non-coding RNA, 579 nt
Filed under: Hevea brasiliensis (rubber tree)
Lineage: Eukaryota; Viridiplantae; Streptophyta; Magnoliopsida; Malpighiales; Euphorbiaceae
Source: RNAcentral
CCAUAUAUCUUCCAUUGUUUCCCAUCUCAGCUUUCCUUCCCCAGCUAACCUCAAAGCUGGUAACAAAGUAGGGCCCACCAUUUCACGAUCAAAAGCAAUGUUGAUUCCACUGAUAGGCAUCAUGGCCCUUGCUGGAACAGUCAUCACCGCAUCAACAUAUCGAGAAUUCCUCUGUCCUGGCUUCAGGGCUUGUGUAGGCGCAUCGAAGUCAGCUAAAUUAAGCCACAGUCCGCAAGACAAAGCACAUGUAACCCCAUUUCGAAGGCUAAAUGGGUAUCCACGAACAAAAUCUGCUCCCUCACGAUAAGGGUCAUAGAGCGUAUUAAAGAAGAAAGGGGUAGCUGGAGUUGUCAAGUUCAUGAUAUGCUGGUCCACAGCAUCAAUUAAGAAACCUCUUUCAUCCUUGGCUGGAAUGCAGUCAUCAUCAAUUGAAACAAUGUACUUUUUUCGAGAUACGAGAAAGCCAAAAUAUCUGCAUGAAUAUCCAGAGAAGAGAAUAGAAGUGGAAGAACCCACUGCACGAUCCAUAUGAGACUUGGUAUAGACAUCCACAUUAAAUCCUUCUGGUAUCUUGAGUUC